UGUUCGAGCGUCAUUACAACCCUCAAGCUCUGCUUGGUAUUGGGCCCUGCCAGUUCUGGCAGGCCUAAAUCAGUGGCGGUGCAUUUGGCUUCAAGCGUAGUAAUUCUUCUCGCUCCUGGAGACCAGGUGGAUGCUUGCCAACAACCCCCAAUAUAUCAAUGGUUGACCUCGGAUCAGGUAGGGAUACCCGCUGAACUUAA
RNAcentral lists this unclassified non-coding RNA (200 nucleotides) under soil metagenome. RNAcentral's name for it is "partial contains internal transcribed spacer 2 and large subunit ribosomal RNA". The record is from RNAcentral.